This is a long non-coding RNA of Mastomys coucha (southern multimammate mouse), 1119 nucleotides long. RefSeq lists it as uncharacterized. The transcript is spliced from 2 exons. NCBI's taxonomy places the organism in Eukaryota, Metazoa, Chordata, Mammalia, Rodentia, Muridae. The record is from RefSeq and is a predicted model, not a curated record.
CCCCACCAAUAAUCAAGAAAGUUAGACCUAACUCCAAUUGUUGUGUUUUUACUUACCUAACACAGUUCUGACACGAGAGCUAAGUAGAAGUGGUCAGUGCUGGGGAUGGGUCAAGAAGCUAACAACAGCUAAGUGGCGAAACUCAGCGCUCACAGGACAGCUGUCAUUGUGAGGCUGAGGACUUGCCAUAUGGCAGAGGAGAUGCACUAUUGAUCAGUGGACAGAAUUAACAAGGUGACAGAUUUGGGCUCAAUCAUAGGGACAUUUUCUAAUCAUCCCAACUGUCACAGAGUGGAGUGGGUGACAUGGGGCAGGCUGAGACCCCUGCACAGUGGACAUGUGCCGGCUGGCACACCAUCUGUCAGAGAUGCCAUCAAACCUGACAACUUGCUUCAAAAAUAACAUUUUGCAAUGGUUAUUGAAUAGAACAUGUCCACAGGAGACUACUUUAGAAAAUAAAAUGCUAACAAGGAAGAGGCUCAUCCUGAACCCCACGUUCACAGGUUCGGAUCCUGGAGGCAGGAACUGGAGAAGCAGCCAUGGAGGAGGGCUGUUUAGAGGCUCGCCACUCAUGGCUUGCUCAGUCUCCUUCCUUAUACAACACAACCUGCCAAGCGGUGUUACCACUCUCACAAUGGGCUGGGCUCUUUUAUAUCAGCCAUUAAUCAAGAAAAUGACCUACAGACUUGCUUUGGUGGGCCAAUCUGAUGAAGACAUUUUCUCAACUGAAGUUCCCUCUUCCCUGAAGAUGACACCCACAAAAAACAUUCAGUCAGGACAGAGAUUAUUCUUAAUAAUUGAAUUCAAUCAGUUGGAUAAAUUAUGAGCAAUAACCAAAGUUUCUUAGAGAAGAAAUAGUUCUGCCUUUAGACUGGAGCAGAGAGUUCUACCUGGGUUUCCAUCCUGAGCCUUUGCUCACAGGAUGGAAGACUUGCCAUCCCCACAACAAUGGGCUCCCUCCUUCCCUUCCUUCUUCCCUCCUUCCCUCUUUUACUCCCUCUCUCACCCCAUCCCUCCCUCCCUUUCUCUUGUAUCUGAGUUUCUCACUUUUGUUUACUGCUCAAUAGGGUGAACUACUUCCCAACAUGGCCAAUGAAAUAAACCCAUCCUUAUACUUAA